Molecule: long non-coding RNA, 729 nt
Organism: Nylanderia fulva
Lineage: Eukaryota; Metazoa; Arthropoda; Insecta; Hymenoptera; Formicidae
Source: RefSeq, a predicted model, not a curated record
UCUCAUUCUAUAUCACUGAGAGAGAAGUUACAUAAAAACAGAGAGAGAAUGUACUCGGAUAUGUUUCCAGACGCAGUCUUAAUCGCGUGCGAAUAAUUUUACUCGAUUCUCGUGUUUUAUCAAAAUCGUCGAAAAUGUGAUAAAUAAAAUCCAGUAUCGCGAACGAAAAAAAAAAAACGCGCGAGUGCAGUGUUUCCAUCGAAGCUUCUACAAGGAGGAAAAAUAGCCGAAGAAUCUGGAGUACGCUUAAACCGUAGAAGAAAAAUAAUCGAAAUAUCACUAUUGCUGAUGAUUUUAACAACUUUAGGAGGAGAAGAAGGAAGGAAGUUUGGGAAGAACAUCAGGCACCAGCGGAGCAACCCUGAGAACAACGUAGCUUCGUAGUAAACUCCGCUGCUGCGCAUCGGUUGGUUAGUGCUGGAUAUUUUAUAUUGUGAGAUAACGGUUUCAUAGAUAUUUGAUUGUAUAGAGACAUAGAGUGCAGAUUGUAGAUUGUAGAAUGUAGAGUGUUGAUUGUAGAUUGUAGAUUAUCUCAUGAAGAGCGGAUAACAGAUGAUUGUGAUUAAUCAUCGUACAAAGGAAACUUUAUUUGAUCAAAUCAUUGCGAAUUGGUUAUCGAACACAGCAAUUGCGCGAUUAUUUUCCAUUAAAUUCAUUGUUGAUAAUUUAUUUAUUUAUUAAUGAUUUAUCUUUUUAUUCAAUUAUUAAAUUACUCUAUAGUAAAUAAGA